RNAcentral lists this ribosomal RNA (423 nucleotides) under uncultured prokaryote. RNAcentral describes it as "bacterial SSU rRNA". It matches the Rfam family "Bacterial small subunit ribosomal RNA", at positions 355 to 796 of the family's 1533-position model. The record is from RNAcentral.
UGGGGAAUCUUGGACAAUGGGCGGAAGCCUGAUCCAGCCAUACCGCGUGGGUGGUAAGGCCUUCGGGUUGUAAAGCCCUUUCAGCGGGGAAGAUGAUGACAUUACCCGCAGAAGAAGCGCCGGCUAACUCCGUGCCAGCAGCCGCGGUAAGACGGAGGGCGCUAGCGUUGUUCGGAAUCACUGGGCGUAAAGGGCGCGUAGGCGGCUGCUUAAGUCGAGGGUGAAAGCCCCGGGCUCAACCCCGGAACGGCCUUCGAGACUGGGCAGCUCGAGACCGGAAGAGGAGGGUGGAAUACCCAGUGUAGAGGUGAAAUUCGUAGAUAUUGGGUGGAACACCAGUGGCGAAAGCGGCUCUCUGGUCCGGAUCUGACGCUGAGGCGCGAAAGCGUGGGGAGCAAACAGGAUUAGAUACCCCUGUAGUCC